AUGUUACAAAAUUCGGCAACUAAAUUCUUUUAAAGUCAUGUAAUACACGACUUCAUAUGCUGAGGAAAUUUUAAGACACGCCAUAUGAAUUACACCACGGUAAUAAUAAUAUUUGUGAAGGAUGUGUUAUUGUUUUGUAGCCUGUUUUAUUGCUAAGAUAUCUUAGUUUGCUUGCUGGGUGUAGCUGUCUGUCAAGAAGAUGCUCAUCAGAGAUUGAGGCGAGGAAUAAAGACCAUUACUGUUCCAAAACCCUAUCCGGUUUAUGUACCGAAACCGUACCCUGUGGUCAAAACUAUUCCAGUUAAAAUUCCAUACAAAGUCACCAUAUCCAAACCCUACCCCGUAGAAGUACUCAAACCGUAUCCAGUCCCAGUGACGAAAACCGUGCAAGUUCCAGUCACCAGAACCGUCCAGGUACCUGUCAAGGUGCCGAUCCACGUACCCGUUCCUGUGAAAGUACCCGUGGCGGUACCACAACCUUACCCUAUCACCAUCGAAAACCUGAAGGUCGUGAAGGAGUCGUACCCAGUUUACGUUGGAGGUGGCGGUGGUGGCCAUUCGUCCUCCUACGUCAUCGGAAGUGCCCACGGUGACAUCAAAGUGGGAAGUGGACAUGGUUGGUGGUAGUCUAUAUGCGUUAGGUUUGGAUAAGUCUAUUUGGUUAAUUUGUUUGUUGAUUAGUAGUAAGUGAAAUCUUAAAAUCUUGAUUGGCGUAAAUUCGUUUGAGAUUGAUGUUUU
This 738-nucleotide unclassified non-coding RNA is filed under the name Sitophilus oryzae (rice weevil). RNAcentral describes it as "zinc finger protein 512B-like, transcript variant X1". The record is from RNAcentral. Lineage: Eukaryota; Metazoa; Arthropoda; Insecta; Coleoptera; Curculionidae.